GCAGUUGUAGCAGAAGUUUGCUCUGCCGUUUUGCUUUGUGAAGCAGAACAUCUCGCUAACAGCUCUCUGCCUCAUUUAAUCUGGUGUCCGCUCUUGUUGCGGGAUCAGGUCAGCCACAUACUUUGGUUAAUGGUUCUAUUAAUUCUGGGCUUGCCGGGAGAAGAAGGAAAGAGACGGAAAGGCGAGAUUCAAACACUAUUUAGUGGACUUUUCCGCUAGAGUUCAUUCUGCAGGAUGUAUUGAAUGUGGACCAGAACAUCCAGGACCAUCUAAGAAACAAUACAGAGAGGGUGCCAACAAAUAUUACAAGAGACUUUUCCAAAGUGCUGGGAAGAUGCCAAAGCCACAAAUUCUCCACAUUCCUUUGCGCUUUUGCGGUUAAAGCAUCGAAGUGAGAAAGCGUCUUUCAGAGUACAUUCACAGUCACAUGACUGUCUGUGGUCACACAGCCCAGGUCCCUACACUACAGUCCCAGUUCAGUCAAACACACUCUUGCUACACGAAACAACCAUCCACAGUCACAUACUGAGCACACAUGUGAUGUCAGCUUGUUUGCCUUGACACAGCGGGGGAAACGAAGCAAACAGGACGACACCAACCUCGUCAGGUUACAGAAAGAGAAGGAUGCUUGAAGAGAUUUGUUUUAAAUUACUGCACCGUUAGAAGUGACUUUGUAUUUCUACAUGUUACUAAAACAUGUGAGUGGAUGCAGCAUGUGGAAAAUAAGUAUUCAGACUAUGAAUGUUUUAGUAAUUUCUGAUGUACCUAUUGAAAUUGGAUGGACGAAAUGUUGGCAAGUACACAAAAAAAGAAGUCAACAUAAUUUAGUCAAUACAUUAUGUUCAUUUAGUAAUCUAAAAACAAUUUUCUUCUUUUUAGUAUGAAUUAAUAUAGGUAAUUUUAAUCCAUAUGGAUGGUUUAUAAACAGAUUUCUUAUUACAAAGGUAUCACACAAGACACAUCUCAUAAGUAAAUUAUGAGAUGUGUUUCAAGACCUUUGAAAUCUUACUUUUGAAAACCAUACUGUUGGCAUUGGUUACAAGGACUUAUUAUUUUUUUGUAUUUACUUUCCAACUACUGUCUAAUUUCAAAGCUGAUGUUUAUUAGCAAUAUUUUAGAAAAAGUGCUAAAAGGUGAAGUCAAAUGUUUUAUUACCAACCUUCAGAUUUCUGGUUCUUUUCAAUCAGACUUUCUACAGAAACAACCCUGUUAAAGAUGUUUGAUGAUGUUUUGAUGUCCACCGAUAUGCUGGAUUAUUCAGUACCUGUGCUGAAUGAUCCAGGUUAUUACAAUAAUCCUGAACUAUCAUAGAUAUUUCUCCACUUUGAUGACUAAGUUGAUUUGUUGCCUAGUUAAGUUAAAUUGGUGGCUGAUUAUAAGUUUUAGUGAAACAAUAAUACUGAUUAUAGCACAUGAACGUUUUGUACUUUUGUACAUCAAUUAAGACCAUGUGUCAGACACCUGGGAAUAACGUUUGACUCACAUCUGGACUCGCAUCUAAAAUCCCUUUCAUGGUCUUGCAUUUUACAAUUGAGGUCCACUGCCAAACUCAGAUCUGUUUUGAUCUCUACUGAAGAAAUAAAAUAAAAUCUUUUCAACUUG
This is a long non-coding RNA of Xiphophorus couchianus (Monterrey platyfish), 1602 nucleotides long. RefSeq lists it as uncharacterized. The transcript has 3 exons. NCBI's taxonomy places the organism in Eukaryota, Metazoa, Chordata, Actinopteri, Cyprinodontiformes, Poeciliidae. The record is from RefSeq and is a predicted model, not a curated record.